AGAGUUUCGAGCGCCGCUUCCUAGCGGCGCGCACACUGCGCUCCUUCCCCUGGCAGGUGGGCGGCGGGGCGAGCGGAGAGGCCUGCGGGGCUUGCGGAAGUCCAGGGGCAGACGGGAUGGGUCUCCCUGCUGAAACCCCCGGCGCUCCUGCCACCCCUCGGAAGGCUCGGUCACACUCUCCGAGCACAGCCAUCAUCUCCCACGGUACCACAGGCCUGGUCACAUGGGACGCUGCCCGCUACCUUGCAGAAUGGGCCAUCAAGAACCUGGCAGCCUUCACUAACAGACGUGCUGUAUUGCCCAGAAGCCAUCGUGUCCCUGGUCGGGGUCCUGCGGAGGCUGGCUGCCUGCUGGGAGCACCAGCGGGCUCCUGAGGUCUACAUGGCCUUUACCGUCCGCAACCCAGAGACGUGCCAGGUGUUCACCACCGAGCUAG
RNAcentral lists this long non-coding RNA (436 nucleotides) under Homo sapiens (human). RNAcentral's name for it is "non-protein coding lnc-TMCC1-10:3". The record is from RNAcentral. Lineage: Eukaryota; Metazoa; Chordata; Mammalia; Primates; Hominidae.